Long non-coding RNA from Carassius carassius (crucian carp), 396 nucleotides. RefSeq lists it as uncharacterized. The transcript is spliced from 5 exons. The record is from RefSeq and is a predicted model, not a curated record. Lineage: Eukaryota; Metazoa; Chordata; Actinopteri; Cypriniformes; Cyprinidae.
AGCAGGGCUCACAAGAAGAAGAAUCCUUGUGCUGAAGAACCCUAUACACUCUUACAUACUGGAUCCAGAUUUCCAGCGCUGGAGGUCUGUGGUGAACCACCCACUGCUGGCAGCGGUCUAACCCGGCUGAGGCAGCGGAUGGGGUGGGUGUUGAAUCUAAGGCCCCCGUGGAGAGCACUGGAGACCAGACCAGCCCUGCUGAAUCAUGCUAAAUGAAGAUGAAACAGUGCUGGACUGCUGUGGUUGUGUGUGAAAGUGCAGCUGUGUAGUUUCCAUGAAAUUCUGUUCCCGCAUAUGACAAAGUGCGCAGUCGACAAGGUUAAGGAGAAGAAACAGAAUCUCUCAAGUGAGCACGGCCAACAAAUCGCUCUGUGUAACUCUACCUCUCCAUGGCUA